GAUGAACGCUGGCGGCGUGCCUAAUACAUGCAAGUCGAGCGAACGGACGAGAAGCUUGCUUCUCUGAUGUUAGCGGCGGACGGGUGAGUAACACGUGGAUAACCUACCUAUAAGACUGGGAUAACUUCGGGAAACCGGAGCUAAUACCGGAUAAUAUUUUGAACCGCAUGGUUCAAAAGUGAAAGACGGUCUUGCUGUCACUUAUAGAUGGAUCCGCGCUGCAUUAGCUAGUUGGUAAGGUAACGGCUUACCAAGGCAACGAUGCCUAGCCGACCUGAGAGGGUGAUCGGCCACACUGGAACUGAGACACGGUCCAGACUCCUACGGGAGGCAGCAGUAGGGAAUCUUCCGCAAUGGGCGAAAGCCUGACGGAGCAACGCCGCGUGAGUGAUGAAGGUCUUCGGAUCGUAAAACUCUGUUAUUAGGGAAGAACAUAUGUGUAAGUAACUGUGCACAUCUUGACGGUACCUAAUCAGAAAGCCACGGCUAACUACGUG
Molecule: ribosomal RNA, 497 nt
Filed under: uncultured bacterium
Lineage: Bacteria
Description: partial 16S ribosomal RNA
Rfam family: Bacterial small subunit ribosomal RNA
Source: RNAcentral